RNAcentral lists this ribosomal RNA (253 nucleotides) under uncultured bacterium. RNAcentral describes it as "partial 16S ribosomal RNA". It matches the Rfam family "Bacterial small subunit ribosomal RNA", at positions 524 to 776 of the family's 1533-position model. The record is from RNAcentral.
UACAGAGGGAGCAAGCGUUGUUCGGAAUUACUGGGCGUAAAGGGCGCGUAGGCGGUUCGAUAAGUCCCGUGUGAAAUCCCUCGGCUCAACUGAGGAACUGCACGGGAAACUGACGGGCUUGAGUUCGGGAGAGGGAAGCGGAAUUCCGGGUGUAGCGGUGAAAUGCGUAGAUAUCCGGAGGAACACCGGUGGCGAAAGCGGCUCACUGGACCACAACUGACGCUGAGGCACGAAAGCUAGGGGAGCAAACAGG